GGGGCUCUUUCCUCCUCCUCCCAGCUGUGGGUCCUUCCUGAGGGCCCUAGGGAGGGAAGGAUGCAGAAACCGGGGCCGCGCCCCCGCCAGAGCGCUCACAGCUGGCCAGUCACCUGCCAAAGACUUCAUCAUUACGCAUUUGUGCCUCUCAAUCUUGAGAAACACCUCUUAGUUUAGACAAACGGCAGUAUAAAGAUCUAUUUAAUCCUUUUCACAAGUCAUGUCUGGAGAUAGCUUUAUUUGGAACCUCAUUUUCUGACGUUCCCCUUCCUAAAAGGCUUCUUCCAACCGCAGAAGGGAAUGAAGGGCAAUUUGUUAGCUGCAUCGCCACUUACUCUCUGCGGGGCAUGGUACUAAGGGCUUUACCCCAUUGGCCUGUUUACGGAGGAAAAAAGGGAAGCUCAGAGGAGAAGUGACUUCCCUCAAGGUCAUCGAGCUGCCAACUGGUAGUGCGGAGAUUCAAACUCAAGGCUGGCUUCAUGCGGGACAGGACCAGCUGGUGAUUCAGCAGUCCUGCUACAGCAAAUCAAGCCCUUUAAAGGAAUCAUGUGUCUUAGCUAUGUAGACAAGACUUUCCCAGCCUAAUUUCUUAUAGAACACAGGAAGGACAGUCCAUGGGUGCCCCUCCCCCCCACACACACACACUGGGCUGGGCCCUCCCCCAUCAAUCACGGAUUAAGAAGAUGCUCGACAGCCUGAUCUCACGGAGGUGUUUUCUCAAGCGAGACGAGGUCUCUCACUGGACCUGGAACUUCUGAUUCACUGAGACUGGCUGACCAUUGAGCUGCAAGGAUCCUGUGAUCUGUGUCUCCCAGCUCCAGCUCUGGGCUUUAACAUGGCAUUGGAGUUCCAAACUCAAGCCAGAAGGCAAUUUAUCCUGAGCCAUUGUCUCAGGCUCCUUCUCCUUCUCUUCUUCUCAUUCUCCAGCUUCUUUUCCUUCCUUCCUUCCUUCCUUCCUUUUCUCCUUCCUUCCUUCCUUUUCUCCUUCCUUCCUCCCUUCCUUUUUUUCUGUGAGAUAGUGUUAUCUAGCUUCAAUCACUCUAGUGCUGGGGUUAUAGGGUAAAAUACUGUGGCCAGCUUUAACAUAAAUUAUUUUCUUGGGCUGGAGAGAUGGCCAGUAGUUUAGAGAACUGACUGCUCUUCCAGAGGUCCUGAGUUCAAAUCCCAGCAACCACAUGGUGGCUCACAACCAUCUGUAAUGGGAUCUGAUGUCCUCUUCUGCUGUGUCUGAAGACAGCUGCAGUGUACUAACAUAAAUAAAAUAAAUAAAUAAAAUUUUUUUUUCCGGAGCUGGGGACCGAACCCAGGGCCUACCACUGAGCUAAAUCCCCAACCCCUUCAAAUAAAUAAAUCUUAAAAAAAAAAAAAAAAAAAAAA
Rattus norvegicus (Norway rat) is the source of this 1377-nucleotide long non-coding RNA. RefSeq lists it as uncharacterized. The record is from RefSeq and is a predicted model, not a curated record. NCBI's taxonomy places the organism in Eukaryota, Metazoa, Chordata, Mammalia, Rodentia, Muridae.